This is a long non-coding RNA of Hydra vulgaris (swiftwater hydra), 2997 nucleotides long. RefSeq lists it as uncharacterized. The record is from RefSeq and is a predicted model, not a curated record. NCBI's taxonomy places the organism in Eukaryota, Metazoa, Cnidaria, Hydrozoa, Anthoathecata, Hydridae.
AAUAAUUGUGGUUUCACUAUUUCAAUAAAUCAAUAUUUCGCUAGAUUUUAGUGAAAUAGGCGUUGGAUGCAAUUGGAGUCAAAGUAACUGUCUGUUGGCCAUAAUACCGAUAGUAUUUUGCAGGGUUUUUAUAGCAUGUAAACUAAUUUUUUCUUACAUAUGUUACACAUGAAUUUAGGUAAGUUUUUUGUUUUUUUUUUAUCCAUUUCGGGCUAAAUAAGCCGUAAAAAAGACAUUUCUAAACUUCUUAUGAAGGUUUUUAAAGUCUUCAGAACGAAUUUUUUCGGCCGUGUGCUCACUAGGUUGACGGUAGGUAUUAUGUUUUUUUAUUCUUUAAUAAUUGGUUGUUUUUAGUUACACAGGGUGGCCCAAAAGUCGCGCUACCAUUAGAAAAAUUCACCACAAUCCUCCUUAUAAUUUUUAUUUUUUUUCCUUUCAGAUAUUAACACUUCAACCCUUGGAGACUUGUUAUGGAGAAAUUUAGCACAGCCCAAAGAACAAAAAUCGUAUUUCGAGAGGUGUUGCUGUUUUGCAGCACGCGAAUGAGUUAACAGCUUUUGACAAAAAAAACUUUCAAAAUAGCAAAUACAUCUUAUAAUUAUUUCUAACAAAGUGGCGUGAACGCCAUUUUAGACUUUAAGAGAUACUUAAAGUUUUCGAGAAAUUAUAACGACAAAGGCGUUUCAAAUCACUCAUCUAAUGUUUUGUACAUAUGGGAGAAAAUCGAUCCUAGUUUAAAAACUGUGCCUAAGUGCCUGUUAGCCGAUGCUAAUAUGUAAGAAGAUUUCUAUGCUGCUCCUUUAAUCGAAGUAAUUAAAGAGCAGCAAUCAUUACCGAUGUAUUGUCAGUCCUCGCACAUUCAACCGAGACCCUUAUAUCAAAGCUAUCUUCAGUUAUUUUAAAUCUAGAUUUUUUAAAAGCUAGGACUUGAUAUGCCUGCUUAACAUGUAUGAUGACAUCGAAUUUGUAAAAGCUGAAGAAAAAGAAAUAAAAAACUCGGUAACGAUCUUUAGUAAAAAAAAAAAUAGACCAAAACGUUCGUAUUUAUAAACAAGCAACCGUACUCACGGAGAUUGUAAAGACAUAUUUUUCAUCUGAACAUGUGAAAAAAAUGAGAAAAUUACUGUCAGGCAAUGUAUAACUGUCCAAAACGGAGUGCAUCGAUGUACGCGAUUACCUUAUGGUAUUUAUAUGCUUAAUAAAUGCAACACGGUCUUCCAAUCUCAUUUUAAUAUCCAUUGAAGAUGUCAAAUGUCAAAAAAAAAAAACUUGAAAAUGGCUGGGUCAUCCAAAAUAAACUAUAUUAAACAAGUAUGUUGUAUGGCAAUAAAAUCAUACUUUUAGCUGAAACCCUCAGGGAUGAGCUAUUAAAAUACCUGAAAUAUCCCAGAAGUGUUAUUAAUACAAAAAUAGGGUGUUCCCCAGAGGACCCUGUCUUCAUUUCUAGUGGCUCAGAUGUACUGACUCAUUCCGCAAUUGCAAACGGAAUGAGCACAUUUUUCAGAAAAUCGAAAGCCUUGUUAGAUGUUGACAGUGAAUUCAAUAACGAUCGUGUUUGCCUGACAAAAAUCAGAAUAAGUAUUGCGACAUGUGUUCUUGGUGACGAGAAUGUAAAUAGUUUUGCUCGUGUAAGUGCUAUAUUUUAAUAUCAUACACUACUAUUAUAUAAAAAGAACUAUUUAUAACAGUAUGAUCUUUAACAGAACUACAUGACAAACAGAAAAACAAAACAACUACAACACUGAAGUUUUACGUGACCCGUUUCGCUUUAAUAACAGCCGCCUUUCAUAACUAGAGAGUAAGAACUUAAUUUGUUGUAUUACAAAAAAAAUGCCCUGGAAGUAAAACCAACACCUUCCGAUGUUAAAGGUAAGUAAGAAAACAAGCAUAGACUUUUAUUAUUUAAACAUAGGGUUUAUUUUUAAACAAAGUCAAUAGAAUAUAACUAUGGUCUGGAAGUCUAUUGUUGUUUAGCUGAAAUAAAUAGUUUAUUAAUCACGUGACCGAAGAGUGUGCAAAACAUGGCAUUAAGUAGCGCAGGAUUUAAUAAUAGAUAUUCAGUAUGAAGGUCUUUUCGAUGAAAAAUUUAUUAUGCCCAAAUUUGAAACAAAACAAAUAAAAAAUAUAACAAAUUAUGAAAUUGGUGCCUUACAAUAUCUGGCUAGGUAUGUUAUCAAAAUGUUUAUAAAAAAAAUCGAAAAACAGCCUAAAUUAUAAAUCUGAUGAAAAUCAAAAUAUAAUAAAAGUAUUAAAUAACACUAUUAGCAAUAUUUCUUCUGAUCAGGAAUUUAGUCAGUCGUGGUGGACUUACAGCUGUUAAUAAUGAAUGAUAGCAAAUAUUUGUGAAAGCUGGAAUUCAAUUUCGAUAAUAAAACAAAUAUUAAACAUUUGCAAGAAAUUAACAUUAGCAGAAUGACUGUGGAACUACUGAAAGAUACAGAAGUAGUGAGCUUUUAUAACCCUAUCAGGAUGCGGAGUUGAUAUAGAUAAUGAUGUUUGUAAAAACCUUUUAAAAAAUAUGAUAAAACUUUACUUUCGAGUGCGAGCAUUUUCUAUGGUAUAGACAUAACAACCAAACAUAAACUAAAAUUUGAAAAAAAAAAAAUCAUGGUAGACUUCGUAAAAAGCUUAAAAAACAAUUCAAAGAGUAACAAGGAUGUUGUAAAAUUGUAUUUGUCACUUGUUAUGUGUUUAGUUUUAUUAAUAAAAUUAUGUAUCUUAAAAUAUUGUUAGUUAUUUUCAUAUGUUCCCAGAUUCUCUUGCUUUUUUUUCUUGCUCUUGUACCUUUUUCCUAAUGGUUCACUAAAAGUGAUUCUCCGUGAUACUUUAUGCUUUUGUAUACGAGCUCCUAUGGUAUUCGUAGUAAUAGGUGCUACAGACCGUUGCAUUCUGAUAGCAUUUGAUUGGUAUCCCAACUGAAUGAGGGUAGGGUUGUCAUUUCGGCGACCAAAGCUGCAAUGGCUCCCAAAGUAUUUCUCCAGGACAUCCUGGGUAAAA